This is a non-coding RNA of Arabis alpina (gray rockcress), 106 nucleotides long. The record is from Rfam. NCBI's taxonomy places the organism in Eukaryota, Viridiplantae, Streptophyta, Magnoliopsida, Brassicales, Brassicaceae.
ACUCCAUGGUGAAGACAAUAUCUAGUGUAACCCUUCAAUCUUUCCCAAGCUUCAUAGAGAGCUUUACUGGGGCCUUGUUUGAAGCUUGUGAUAUCAUUCCUAAUUU